This 496-nucleotide ribosomal RNA is filed under the name uncultured bacterium. RNAcentral's name for it is "partial 16S ribosomal RNA". It matches the Rfam family "Bacterial small subunit ribosomal RNA", at positions 29 to 507 of the family's 1533-position model. The record is from RNAcentral.
AUGAACGCUGGCGGCGUGCCUAAUACAUGCAAGUCGAGCGAACGGACGAGAAGCUUGCUUCUCUGAUGUUAGCGGCGGACGGGUGAGUAACAUGUGGAUAACCUACCUAUAAGACUGGGAUAACUUCGGGAAACCGGAGCUAAUACCGGAUAAUAUUUUGAACCGCAUGGUUCAAAAGUGAAAGACGGUCUUGCUGUCACUUAUAGAUGGAUCCGCGCUGCAUUAGCUAGUUGGUAAGGUAACGGCUUACCAAGGCAACGAUGCAUAGCCGACCUGAGAGGGUGAUCGGCCACACUGGAACUGAGACACGGUCCAGACUCCUACGGGAGGCAGCAGUAGGGAAUCUUCCGCAAUGGGCGAAAGCCUGACGGAGCAACGCCGCGUGAGUGAUGAAGGUCUUCGGAUCGUAAAACUCUGUUAUUAGGGAAGAACAUAUGUGUAAGUAACUGUGCACAUCUUGACGGUACCUAAUCAGAAAGCCACGGCUAACUACGUG